RNAcentral lists this long non-coding RNA (683 nucleotides) under Eptatretus burgeri (inshore hagfish). RNAcentral's name for it is "lncRNA (ENSEBUG00000017507.1)". Lineage: Eukaryota; Metazoa; Chordata; Myxini; Myxiniformes; Myxinidae. The record is from RNAcentral.
CCCACUUUCCAAUGUGAAGAAAAUCAGAGCUCGAACAUGCCUUUACAAAGAACAUGCCGAGAUGGACAUUUUGACCUGCCAAAGUGCACACCAGAUUUAUGUUAUCUGCAGACAUCGGAUUUCAGGAAUAAUCACCUUGAGGUUCCAGAGAAUUACACACAGAUGCUAUUCAGAUGGAUCUUUUAUCAUGUCGAGUUACCCAGAGAUGUACCAGUGACCCUGAAAUGUGAGCAAGAUCACGUGACCUCAGAACAUCUUAUCGUCAUGUGUAAAGAUGGGGUUGUGGAACUGCCAAAGUGCCGUCCAGUGCGUACCUCCACCUCUCGGGGCUCACCUCAGCCUGCUCCCUACUCUCACUACAGAUCAUGAUGUCAUCCGCGAACAUCAUAGUCCAUGAAGACUCCUGUCUAAUCUCGUCUGUCAACCUGUCCAUCACCAUUGCAAACAGGAAAGGGCUCAAAGCUGAUCCUUGAUGCAAUUUUCUUUUUACUUUGGAAAAUAUGGGGGGAAUUUUGAUUUCCAACUCUCCCCAUCACUUCAAUGUACCUUAUACCCAGGGAUCAAAACCCCACAAAUCCCCUUUUCUCCAAAAGCACACAAUUUAAUGGCACUCUCCAUUCAAGAGCAUGCUCUGCAACAUACUAAAAUAUGGCAAUUCGAUAAUAUAUAUACCCCCCCCCCCC